GAAUCUUGGACAAUGGGGGCAACCCUGAUCCAGCCAUGCCGCGUGAGUGAUGAAGGCCCUAGGGUUGUAAAACUCUUUCGGCGGGGACGAUACUGACGGUACCCGCAGAAGAAGCCCCGGCUAACUUUUUGCCAGCAGCCGCGGUAAUACGAAGGGGGCUAGCGUUGUUCGGAAUUACUGGUCGUAAAGCGCGCGCAGGCGGUUUUCCAAGUCAGGGGUGAAAGCCCAGAGCUCAACUCUGGAACUGCCUUUGAAACUGGAAAACUAGGGUACGGGAGAGGUGAGUGGAAUUCCGAGUGUAGAGGUGAAAUUCGUAGAUAUUCGGAAGAACACCAGUGGCGAAGGCGGCUCACUGGCCCGUUACCGACGCUCAGGCGCGACAGCGUGGGGAGCAAACAGG
RNAcentral lists this ribosomal RNA (400 nucleotides) under uncultured bacterium. Its description in RNAcentral is "bacterial SSU rRNA". It matches the Rfam family "Bacterial small subunit ribosomal RNA", at positions 359 to 776 of the family's 1533-position model. The record is from RNAcentral.